Molecule: ribosomal RNA, 506 nt
Filed under: Salmonella enterica subsp. enterica serovar Oranienburg
Lineage: Bacteria; Pseudomonadati; Pseudomonadota; Gammaproteobacteria; Enterobacterales; Enterobacteriaceae
Description: partial 23S ribosomal RNA
Rfam family: Bacterial large subunit ribosomal RNA
Source: RNAcentral
AAUCCAUAGGUUAAUGAGGCGAACCGGGGGAACUGAAACAUCUAAGUACCCCGAGGAAAAGAAAUCAACCGAGAUUCCCCCAGUAGCGGCGAGCGAACGGGGAGGAGCCCAGAGCCUGAAUCAGCAUGUGUGUUAGUGGAAGCGUCUGGAAAGGCGCGCGAUACAGGGUGACAGCCCCGUACACAAAAGCGCAUGUGCUGUGAGCUCGAUGAGUAGGGCGGGACACGUGGUAUCCUGUCUGAAUAUGGGGGGACCAUCCUCCAAGGCUAAAUACUCCUGACUGACCGAUAGUGAACCAGUACCGUGAGGGAAAGGCGAAAAGAACCCCGGCGAGGGGAGUGAAAAAGAACCUGAAACCGUGUACGUACAAGCAGUGGGAGCACCCUUUGGGGUGUGACUGCGUACCUUUUGUAUAAUGGGUCAGCGACUUAUAUUCUGUAGCAAGGUUAACCGUAUAGGGGAGCCGGAGGGAAACCGAGUCUUAAUUGGGCGUUAAGUUGCAGGGU